UUCUGGAAAAUACUUUUAGGUCUAAGAUGCAUAAAUAAGUGAAUUAGAGAGAGAAGCUUAAACUUUCACUGGAUGGUGUUUGUACUGAAUGUUAAUGAGUUUCUCACUGUAGUGGAUUUAUGGUGGAAGAAGCAGCAUCAAUGUUGGCAGUGGAGGAACUAAACUCAUUAUGAAAACUGGUCCGGUGGUGAAGCCCUCCGUGUCUCUGCUCCCUCCCUCCUCUCUGCAGCUCUCUGAAGGAUCGGCCUCGCUGCUCUGCCUGCUCUCGGCCUAUUCUCCACAGGGGGCGCUGCUGAGCUGGACCGUAGACGGUGCCGAGGUGAACGAGGGGGUUCUGACCAGUACAGAAGAACAGAAGAACGGCAUCUACAGCCGCAGCAGCACCCUGACCCUCAGCAAAGAACGCUGGGAAGAGGCCGAGGUGUUCGGCUGUACCGUGUCCCACCACGACACCACUCAGAUCGCCUCGUUCCGAAAGAGCCGCUGUGAAGUCCACUAGAAUUCAAAUGUACACUUUAAAACACGCUUAGCAGUCUGAGGUGGUGUCAGUGGUGUAGCUAUGCUGAAAUAAAGCUUCAAUGUGGAAAGCAUGUCUCCUUUUUCACUAGUGAAGUGUCUUGUGCUGUGCUUGACUGAGUU
Non-coding RNA from Ictalurus furcatus (blue catfish), 639 nucleotides. The record is from the annotation of a RefSeq genome assembly. NCBI's taxonomy places the organism in Eukaryota, Metazoa, Chordata, Actinopteri, Siluriformes, Ictaluridae.